Molecule: non-coding RNA, 73 nt
Organism: Cymbomonas tetramitiformis
Lineage: Eukaryota; Viridiplantae; Chlorophyta; Pyramimonadophyceae; Pyramimonadales; Pyramimonadaceae
Source: the annotation of a GenBank genome assembly
GCCUCUUUAGCGCAGUCGGUAGCGCGUCGGUCUCAUAAUCCGGAGGUCAUCAGUUCGAUCCUGAUAGGGGGCA